Molecule: ribosomal RNA, 1354 nt
Filed under: uncultured bacterium
Lineage: Bacteria
Description: bacterial SSU rRNA
Rfam family: Bacterial small subunit ribosomal RNA
Source: RNAcentral
AUUGAACGCUGGCGGCAUGCUUUACACAUGCAAGUCGAACGGUAACAGGUCUUCGGAUGCUGACGAGUGGCGAACGGGUGAGUAAUACAUCGGAACGUGCCUAGUAGUGGGGGAUAACUACUCGAAAGAGUAGCUAAUACCGCAUGAGAUCUACGGAUGAAAGCAGGGGACCUUCGGGCCUUGUGCUACUAGAGCGGCUGAUGGCAGAUUAGGUAGUUGGUGGGGUAAAGGCUUACCAAGCCUGCGAUCUGUAGCUGGUCUGAGAGGACGACCAGCCACACUGGGACUGAGACACGGCCCAGACUCCUACGGGAGGCAGCAGUGGGGAAUUUUGGACAAUGGGCGAAAGCCUGAUCCAGCAAUGCCGCGUGCAGGAUGAAGGCCCUCGGGUUGUAAACUGCUUUUGUACGGAACGAAAAGCCUGGGGCUAAUAUCCCCGGGUCAUGACGGUACCGUAAGAAUAAGCACCGGCUAACUACGUGCCAGCAGCCGCGGUAAUACGUAGGGUGCAAGCGUUAAUCGGAAUUACUGGGCGUAAAGCGUGCGCAGGCGGUUUUGUAAGACAGUGGUGAAAUCCCCGGGCUCAACCUGGGAACUGCCAUUGUGACUGCAAGGCUAGAGUGCGGCAGAGGGGGAUGGAAUUCCGCGUGUAGCAGUGAAAUGCGUAGAUAUGCGGAGGAACACCGAUGGCGAAGGCAAUCCCCUGGGCCUGCACUGACGCUCAUGCACGAAAGCGUGGGGAGCAAACAGGAUUAGAUACCCUGGUAGUCCACGCCCUAAACGAUGUCAACUGGUUGUUGGGUCUUAACUGACUCAGUAACGAAGCUAACGCGUGAAGUUGACCGCCUGGGGAGUACGGCCGCAAGGUCGAAACUCAAAGGAAUUGACGGGGACCCGCACAAGCGGUGGAUGAUGUGGUUUAAUUCGAUGCAACGCGAAAAACCUUACCCACCUUUGACAUGGCAGGAACUUACCAGAGAUGGUUUGGUGCUCGAAAGAGAACCUGCGCACAGGUGCUGCAUGGCUGUCGUCAGCUCGUGUCGUGAGAUGUUGGGUUAAGUCCCGCAACGAGCGCAACCCUUGCCAUUAGUUGCUACAUUCAGUUGAGCACUCUAAUGGGACUGCUGGUGACAAACCGGAGGAAGGUGGGGAUGACGUCAAGUCCUCAUGGCCCUUAUAGGUGGGGCUACACACGUCAUACAAUGGCUGGUACAAAGGGUUGCCAACCCGCGAGGGGGAGCUAAUCCCAUAAAGCCAGUCGUAGUCCGGAUCGCAGUCUGCAACUCGACUGCGUGAAGUCGGAAUCGCUAGUAAUCGUGGAUCAGAAUGUCACGGUGAAUACGUUCCCGGGUCU